This is a non-coding RNA of Ilex paraguariensis (yerba mate), 74 nucleotides long. The record is from the annotation of a GenBank genome assembly. Lineage: Eukaryota; Viridiplantae; Streptophyta; Magnoliopsida; Aquifoliales; Aquifoliaceae.
GGUCCUGUUACUCAGUUGUUUAGAGCAUUCGUCUUAUGAGCCAAAAGUUGUAGGUUCGAGUCCUACAAGGACCA